UCAAGUGCAUUUGAGGAGUUGACUAAGUGGACCACCAGGUCCUGUUUGGAGCUGGGGGAGGGGAGAGACUGAAUCUGGCUGUUUGAUGUGGGUGCUUUUUUUCAAAUUUUUAUGCUGUUGUUUUUGUUGCAUGUGUACAGCAUAUGCGUGUCUGUACAAAGCGGUGUUUGCCUGUUUGGCUCUGGAGGGCAGGUCGGCACAGGUGAGCGAUGCGUCAUAAAUGGCGAUGUUGUGAACGACAGCUUCAGAAAAGGAUCAUUUGAUUAUAUUCCUUUUCACCGAGAACAAAAGGAAAGAGGGAACUUGCCUGCGUGCGUUGGCGUGGCUGCCAGAUAUCCUCCAUGGCGUAGCUGAUGUAGGGCCCACUGCAGACGGAGCACUCCACCAUCACAGGGCUGGCCAGGAGGGGCGAUGCGUGGAUCCCCCAGGACUGACAGCCGCCCAGAUGGAAGUUGGACUCUGCUUCCUUCUGCUGGCCUGCGCCGUCGCCGUGAUGGCGACCCAGCAUCUUCCACUUCCUGACCUGUGAGAACGAGGUUGAUAAUGUUUUUGCAUUAGGCCACUAAAGUUGAAAACCAAACAGGCGGAAUAAAUGACUCAAUAUCCCCGCGAAAGGCUCACAAUGUUGGCGGCAGCAUCUAAACCGACUAAUAUGUAAUCAUACCCAUAAUAACCAUAACUCACAAUGAGUCUUAUUUCCAACACAGCUCCCGAGGGGGAGUUUAGAUUGGAUUUAAUCACAUGCUGAUAACAAAACAACAACAACAGAAAUCUUAAUAAUCAUCAUUGUCCAUCUGUAAAACAGUAAAGCUAUUGGAGCUUGUUGCUCUCCUAUGGGAACAAUGUAUUUCCAGAUUUGGUGGUUUUGGAUUUAUCAAAUAAACUUCCUCUCAUGCGUCUUGUCACAACUUGUCAUUGCGAUGACAAAGAUCUGUUUGUCUGAGUUCAUGAAAAGGUGACGUAAACGAUGUUCAUGGGAAAUCUAUAAUAUUGUCCCUGAUCACAUUCCUGAUAUGUUUCCUAAUCUAAAGCUUAUCAUGUUAUUCCCCAUUAACAGAUCCAGCAGCGUUUUGUUAAAAUAAACAUGUUUUAUUUUAACUUGUA
Molecule: long non-coding RNA, 1104 nt
Organism: Scophthalmus maximus (turbot)
Lineage: Eukaryota; Metazoa; Chordata; Actinopteri; Pleuronectiformes; Scophthalmidae
Exons: 2
Source: RefSeq, a predicted model, not a curated record